GUCUGAAAUCAGGAUGGCUCUUAAGAGCUUUCAAAAGAGGCUCUGCAGGUGCUAGCCAGGGAACCUAACAAGUUGCUUUUGCUUGCGUGUGUGCAUGUGGCAACUUUACCAGGCCCAGAAGGGAGGUGUUCACUUCAUUUGAUUUAGUAUCACUGGGAGCACCACUGGUGCACGCUAUCUCAAUUUAAUUUAGAAGUGUCAUUGUAAAACAGCAACAAAAAUAUUUUCAAACGGGUUUCCCCCAUAGUGCAGCAUUGAAACAGAGUUACUGUGAAUACAGAAGACUGUCUAUCCCACAGCAGGCAAUGCAAUUAAAGACUUCAGAGAAUGCCAGAUUUUUCAGAAUGCAUCAUAGAAUUUUCAAAGCUGUAAGAAAGAGGAAUGAAUCACAGUUCAUCUCGCAGAUUUAUGGCAUGCCUACAGAAAAAGUACCUUAUGAUGCAAACCUGAAAGUUUAAAUAAUCUCCUGAAAGUUCCACAAUCAGCUGCAGAGAACUCCAGGAGCUGUUUUUAAAGAAGAUUAAGUUUUCAGCUUUCCUCCACUGUUUUGGGAAACGUCACCUUCUUAUCUUGGAAGAGUAAUCUCAAAAUUGAAGCAUCUUAGAUCCAACAAGAAUUAAAAGGAUGGGAAGUCCUUGCAGCCAUCCAAUAGAGUCAGAAGACUUUGGAUUUUGGAGUCUGUGAGAUUAUCUUACAGAGCAAGACUGCAGAUCAAGAUUUUCCAACGUGGUGCUGACUUUUUUGAGAACAGUUAAUGAGAACUAGGAAAGUCCUUGCAGACCAUCCAGUCCAGCGGCUUUCAAAUGGAAAAUGUGAAAGGACAACAGAAUCACAUGGAUUCUUUUCUGAACUGCUUUUUUCCAGUGAUGCCAUAUUCUAUAAGACUUCAUGUGAAGGUGUGGAGGACGGGUAAUGUCUGAAUCUUCCAGGCAAUGAGAGGGAUGGUGUGAGUCUGGAAAUUCUUUGUGAUGGUCUGAGACUCCCCUUACUCCAGUUAAGAACACUGACUUAAUUCGAUCUGGUUUUUUUUAACAAAUGGCCUCUGAGACGUAGAGCAGUGAGGAUAAGGACUCUUACCCGGUUACAGAGUGGAGUAAGGGCUAGAACUCAACUCUUAAAAAUUUCAAAUGCAAUGUUCUUUCUACAAUAUUGUGCCUACUUCUUCACUUCUGCUUAUAGGCAACUUCCUUUUCCUUUAAUUCUCUAAUAUUUGGAGGGCACGUCACAACUUAUACACUUGCUCUAUAUGUUUUACAUUGCUUCUCAUGGUUUCUCAUGCAUAAGUAUAGUAUUUUCUUAUAUUUUAAAUUUUCUAAGAACAGGUAACCUAUUUUAAACUCCCCUUGCAAUUAUGCAGGUAACUAACACAUUGAUGAUAAGCUAAUAUUAAGAGAGCAAAAUAGUUGAUGAUUAGUUUAUUAGUAUCUCAAAAUAAUCCAUUUGAUGUGCUAAGGUGCUAUUAGUUACAACAUUUCAAGUAUACAUGCAAUUCUUGUUAGAAAUAUUAUCCACCUUUUGAAAUACAUGUUGAUUAAAGACUAACAUGGGCUGUGGGCAUAGGUACAGUAACAGCAUACCAUAGGCCGGAGAAAGAGUUGACUUUGGAGGUCCAAGAUCAAGAAGCAGGAUGUCUAACAGGGCUCUUGAGAAUUCUAGGGCAGCCGGUACUCGAAAGGCAAGAUUUGAUUGUGAAUGAUUUCAUGCAACUCCGUUGGUUAAUAAGCAAAUCCUGCCCACACUUGUGGAUAACAUGGAAGCUACCUGAGCAGGUAAAGGCUAAGACAGAAGAUCCAUGAACAGAACUGGAGUUUUGAUAAUUCACCAGGAACUUGGUUACUUUGUUGUACCUUUUAUGCUUUUAUAUUUCUUCUUCCCUUUCAUUUCCAUGCAAUGUAUUUAUAACUUGUAGCUAGAUUUUUAGAUUACUGCCAGACAAAUUCAGUCAAUUUAAUUAAUUAGGCAAAUUAAAGUGAAAAUUAUGUUUUAGGGGCUGUUAAAAUUUAUAAGACAUUAGCACAUUCUUCUCAUGUGCUUUUAUUAUUAUUACAAAUGUUGUUUCAUAAUUAGCCAUGUGUUAAUUGUUAGCUUGGGGAAUGAUUUACGUGUUUAAAAUUGGGAGAAAUCAUUUUGGCUAUGGCUACCUCUUUUAAUUUACUUACAUAUUUUUUUCCCAUCACACAGUGUUUGACUUUUACAACCACAUACAUUUUGAUUAGAACCUGAAAUAAUUCAGUAAAACAAGAUGAUGGUU
RNAcentral lists this long non-coding RNA (2251 nucleotides) under Homo sapiens (human). RNAcentral describes it as "HSALNT0343650". Lineage: Eukaryota; Metazoa; Chordata; Mammalia; Primates; Hominidae. The record is from RNAcentral.